Molecule: ribosomal RNA, 400 nt
Filed under: uncultured bacterium
Lineage: Bacteria
Description: bacterial SSU rRNA
Rfam family: Bacterial small subunit ribosomal RNA
Source: RNAcentral
UGGGGAAUAUUGGUCAAUGGGCGAAAGCCUGAACCAGCAAUGCCGCGUGAGUGAUGAAGGCCUUCGGGUUGUAAAGCUCUGUCAGAGGGAACGAAAAAACUGCGUAACGAGCAGUCUUGACGGUACCCUCAAAGGAAGCACCGGCUAACUCUGUGCCAGCAGCCGCGGUAAUACAGAGGGUGCAAGCGUUGUUCGGAAUUACUGGGCGUAAAGCGCAUGUAGGCGGCUUAUUAAGUCGGAUGUGAAAUCCCUUGGCUUAACCGAGGAACUGCAUUCGAUACUGGUAAGCUUGAGUGUCGGAGGGGAUGGUAGAAUUCCUGGUGUAGAGGUGAAAUUCGUAGAUAUCAGGAGGAAUACCUGUGGCGAAGGCGACCAUCUGGAAGACAACUGACGCUGAGAU